UUUGUCCUCAUUCACUAAAACAAGAGAUAUUCCUGCUGGUUGCUUGUAUUUGUUUGGCUCUCUAAGCUCAUUGUUGAAGGAGUAAAGACCAUGUAUAGGGAAGUCAAUAUGACUUCAAAUAACCUAAAUUCAAAUUGCUCUCCCUGCAGAGUUGAGUACCCAGAGAGCUGAGAGGACUGGCUGCUUUCUGCUGCAAGUUACUAACUUGGCCCAAAAUGGGGACCUAUCAGUUACCAAUUACAAAGAUCUUACAGAUCAUCCUGGAAUUGACUGCUUAUGAUUGCUUUGGAAACCUCACCUCUUUUUGCAUCUGCACCACCAAGCAGUAACAGACUGAUGUUUUGGGGAAGUCUCACCCCCUUCACUCCAGAAAGAAAUCUGUUCCUGCCCACUGUCCUGCCAGAAGUCAAGCACACUCCAUGCCAAGGAGUAAAUUCUGAUAUUAUCAUACAGAGAGGGCUCACAGAAAGUGUGUCUGUAAUCCUUUAGCUCUCUGAAUUCUUCCCAGUUCACUGGGAAGGACAUGGAAGUACUUUCACAUUCCUGCUGCUGAAAAUGUUUUUUGUUCUUAUGCCCACACAUAUCUGGUAGAACCAUGUCUCUGCCUCCUUUGAAUGUUCUUUUAGCUAAUGUACUGCAUUAUGCAUAUUGUUGGAAAAGAAAAUGAAAAGCAGACUCCUCUUGAAUUCUAUCUGUAAUUCUCUGUUUUAAUUUGCACUGCUGACAAAAAGCACUCAAUAUGGGAAAUGAAUCUUUUCUCACUGGUUUUGCAUAUAAUCUGUUAUAUUAAAUUUUGAUUGAGGUUAUCUGUCUAA
This is a long non-coding RNA of Catharus ustulatus (Swainson's thrush), 815 nucleotides long. RefSeq lists it as uncharacterized. The record is from RefSeq and is a predicted model, not a curated record. NCBI's taxonomy places the organism in Eukaryota, Metazoa, Chordata, Aves, Passeriformes, Turdidae. The transcript has 2 exons.